CGGGGUGCACCAGGCGCGAAAACUUUACAAUGCGGGAAACCGUGAUAAGGGGACACCGAGUGCCAGCAUCAUAUGCUGGCUGUCCGGGUGUGUAAAAUACACCCGUUAGCAAGGGCCGGGCAAGACCGGUGCCAGCCGCCGCGGUAACACCGGCGGCCCGAGUGGUGAUCGUGAUUAUUGGGUCUAAAGGGUCCGUAGCCGGUUUGGUCAGUCCUCCGGGAAAUCUGACGGCUCAACCGUUAGGCUUUCGGGGGAUACUGCCAGGCUUGGAACCGGGAGAGGUAAGAGGUACUACAGGGGUAGGAGUGAAAUCUUGUAAUCCCUGUGAGACCACCUGUGGCGAAGGCGUCUUACCAGAACGGGUUCGACGGUGAGGGACGAAAGCUGGGGGCACGAACCGGAUUAGAUACCCGGGUAGUCCCAGCCGUAAACGAUGCUCGCUAGGUGUCAGGCAUGGCGCGACCGUGUCUGGUGCCGCAGGGAAGCCGUGAAGCGAGCCACCUGGGAAGUACGGCCGCAAGGCUGAAACUUAAAGGAAUUGGCGGGGGAGCACAAGGGCGAUUGCG
This 566-nucleotide ribosomal RNA is filed under the name uncultured archaeon. RNAcentral's name for it is "bacterial SSU rRNA". It matches the Rfam family "Archaeal small subunit ribosomal RNA", at positions 326 to 892 of the family's 1478-position model. The record is from RNAcentral.